This 480-nucleotide ribosomal RNA is filed under the name uncultured bacterium. RNAcentral describes it as "bacterial SSU rRNA". It matches the Rfam family "Bacterial small subunit ribosomal RNA", at positions 29 to 526 of the family's 1533-position model. The record is from RNAcentral.
AAUGAACGUUGGCGGCAUGGAUUAGGCAUGCAAGUCGAGCGGGCGUAGCAAUACGUCAGCGGCGCAAGGGACAGGAACACGUAGACUACCUGCCCUCGGGUCUGGCAUAGCUACUAGAAAUGGUAGGUAAUUCCAGAUGAUAUCUCCGGAUCAAAGGUGUGAUUCCGCCCGAGGAUGGGUCUGCGUCCUAUUAGCUAGUUGGUGAGGUAACGGCUCACCAAGGCAAUGAUGGGUAGCAGGUGUGAGAGCACGACCUGCGUCAUUGGGACUGAGACACUGCCCAGACACCUACGGGUGGCUGCAGUCGAGAAUUUUUGGCAAUGGGGGAAACCCUGACCAAGCGAUGCCGCGUGCGGGAUGAAGGUCUUCGGAUUGUAAACCGCUGUCAGUGGGGAGAAAAAGUAGGUGGGUUCUCCCAUCUAUUUGAUCUAUCCGCAGAGGAAGUGAGGGCUAAGCUCGUGCCAGCCGCCGCGGUAAAAC